This is a long non-coding RNA of Carlito syrichta (Philippine tarsier), 268 nucleotides long. RefSeq lists it as uncharacterized. The record is from RefSeq and is a predicted model, not a curated record. The transcript has 2 exons. NCBI's taxonomy places the organism in Eukaryota, Metazoa, Chordata, Mammalia, Primates, Tarsiidae.
UUCUUUUUCUUCUGUCUCUUGAUGAUUAGGCCAAAGGCUGGGAGUAGGGAGGGGAUUCAAUACUUAGGAGCAAAGAAAAAAGUAGCUUGGAACUUUUGAGAUGAUCCCUAACGUACUGAACUACUUGCUUUUACAAUGUGUUAGCAGAAACCAAUGGGGUGUAAAUGUAGACUGAUGUGCUUUCUGCCCAAGUGGUAAUUCACCUUGGUUUGCUUUGUUAAAACUGUAAAUACAACAGAACAUUAAUAAAUGUCUCUUGUGUAGCAAA